AUGAACGCUGGCGGCGUGCCUAAUACCUGCAAGUCGAGCGAACAGAUGAGGAGCUUGCUCCUCUGACGUUAGCGGCGGACGGGUGAGUAACACGUGGAUAACCUACCUAUAAGACUGGGAUAACUUCGGGAAACCGGAGCUAAUACCGGAUAAUAUAUUGAACCGCAUGGUUCAAUAGUGAAAGACGGUUUUGCUGUCACUUAUAGAUGGAUCCGCGCCGCAUUAGCUAGUUGGUAAGGUAACGGCUUACCAAGGCAACGAUGCGUAGCCGACCUGAGAGGGGGAUCGGCCACACUGGAACUGAGACACGGUCCAGACUCCUACGGGAGGCAGCAGUAGGGAAUCUUCCGCAAUGGGCGAAAGCCUGACGGAGCAACGCCGCGUGAGUGAUGAAGGUCUUCGGAUCGUAAAACUCUGUUAUUAGGGAAGAACAAAUGUGUAAGUAACUAUGCACGUCUUGACGGUACCUAAUCAGAAAGCCACGGCUAACUACGU
Molecule: ribosomal RNA, 495 nt
Filed under: uncultured bacterium
Lineage: Bacteria
Description: partial 16S ribosomal RNA
Rfam family: Bacterial small subunit ribosomal RNA
Source: RNAcentral